GCCACACAAGGUAUCUUGCCGUUU
This 24-nucleotide non-coding RNA is filed under the name Arabidopsis thaliana (thale cress). The record is from RNAcentral. Lineage: Eukaryota; Viridiplantae; Streptophyta; Magnoliopsida; Brassicales; Brassicaceae.